This 482-nucleotide ribosomal RNA is filed under the name uncultured bacterium. RNAcentral describes it as "partial 16S ribosomal RNA". It matches the Rfam family "Bacterial small subunit ribosomal RNA", at positions 30 to 507 of the family's 1533-position model. The record is from RNAcentral.
AUUGAACGCUGGCGGCAUGCCUUACACAUGCAAAUCGAACGGUAACGGGCCUUCGGGUGCCGACGAGUGGCGAACGGGUGAGUAAUACAUCGGAACGUGCCCGAUCGUGGGGGAUAACGAGGCGAAAGCUUUGCUAAUACCGCAUACGAUCUACGGAUGAAAGCAGGGGACCGCAAGACCUUGCGCGGACGGAGCGGCCGAUGGCAGAUUAGGUAGUUGGUGGGAUAAAAGCUUACCAAGCCGACGAUCUGUAGCUGGUCUGAGAGGUUGAUCAGCCACACUGGGACUGAGACACGGCCCAGACUCCUACGGGAGGCAGCAGUGGGGAAUUUUGGACAAUGGGCGCAAGCCUGAUCCAGCCAUGCCGCGUGCAGGAUGAAGGCCUUCGGGUUGUAAACUGAUUUUGUACGGAACGAAAAGCCUUCUUUUAAUACAGGAGGGUCAUGACGGUACCGUAAGAAUAAGCACCGGCUAACUACGUG